RNAcentral lists this long non-coding RNA (516 nucleotides) under Xyrichtys novacula (pearly razorfish). The record is from RNAcentral. Lineage: Eukaryota; Metazoa; Chordata; Actinopteri; Labriformes; Labridae.
GUCACACUAAGAGACCAGAGCUGCUGGAGAGAUUCUCUCAAGUGUAUGAGUACACCUUCAGUCACGUGAGUUAUUACUGAGGGAAACGUACCCGAGGAAAAAUCUCAUGCUCCACCUCUGAAGUGUUUAAUGUCAACAAAUGACCGUCACGAUGACUUGUAACUUAUGAAGCCUCACUUAAGAAGCACUGAAAUAUUCCUUUAAUGUUCAUAUUGUAGAAACAUUGGGUAGAAUAGAAAAGAAAAGAAGUUGUAGAGAAGAAAAAAGAUGUUAAAAUAGACGAAAAAGAGAUGCCAAAAAUAGAAUAGCAGAGACUAGUAAUGGGAGUGUGCUAAAUAACCGUGCAAGAUUAACGAAGACAGGGCCCAUAUCUUCUUAACGGUAAGACAAUGUGUAAAUUAGUGACUAAUGUGAACGUCUAGCUCAAAAAGGAUAGUCGAAUUCGGGGCGUGGAAAGAAAAAGUGAGGAGUAAAACCCGGAGCCCAGGGUAAUUGGCAAAUAAAUGAUGAAAAGAG